This 64-nucleotide transfer RNA is filed under the name Dinothenarus chrysocomus. Its description in RNAcentral is "tRNA-Tyr". The record is from RNAcentral. Lineage: Eukaryota; Metazoa; Arthropoda; Insecta; Coleoptera; Staphylinidae.
GGUAAAAUGGCUGAGAAUAGGCGAUAAAUUGUAAAUUUAUUUAUGAACAAAUGUUCUUUUACCA